GGCACUGCCGACAAAGUUGGUUCUUUAUUCUAUGCUGCCGAGGAGGACGUAUGAGGAGUAUGAGGACGUGUUGUAGGCGUUUAUCCCUAGGCGUGCCGGCAUUGCGUAGUGGGGUCAAGUUUGUUUACUCUCGGACGCUGGCGGCCGGCGCUGUCAAAUAGGUGAAGCAGCGGGCACUGCCGCCCGAUUUGGCGACCGCUGUGUCGGACAGACUAUCUCGCACCUGCGGCGCUCGUGCUCAGUCGUGGCGGAUCAUAGCUUUCUCGUGUCUUACGGCGAUGUACAGCCACGUGCAAAAGGACCUGCAACACGGGUGUCCGUGGUCGAAGGGGCUAAAAGAAGGCUGCGCAGACAUAGGGUGAGGUCCAGACCUAAACACAGCUUCAAUCAGUGGUAUUUAUUAAACCACAUUUCGAACGUUAGAGCCGCCGCGCAGCACUGUAGGACCUUCGACUACUAACAAGUGUUGCAAGUCAUAUUGCACGCGACUGUACCUUGUAAAUAACAUCGCAGAUGUUUCUGUGGGAGGAGCAGUAGCGACCGUAGAAGAGCCCGGGCCGCAUAUAUUGACAAUCUAGAUGGCAGAGCGCCUAGCUUAGCAACCGCAGGUGAGCGCAAGUGGCUGAAAGGCCGCCGGUGACGAUGACCGACCGAUUCAGCACGAGCGCCGCAGGCGCGAUAAAGUCUGCCCGACGUACCUUCAGAGGUAAAGUUCCGACUUUUGUUGCAGAAGUCGCGGGGUGCGGUAGUGCUGACCUUAGCGUCGCAAGUUGGCGGCUGGACGUAAUUAUAUUUAUGCAAUAGUGUUUUUUACUAAUUGUAACAACGUGUCAUUAUUUCGCGUUAUUAGCGGUGCCUCCAGGACACCAAAGCGGCAACGGGGACAACAAAGCUAGAACCUGAACUGGUCCGUAGGUUGGAGUUCGCCGAGGCCUGCGCGUGCCAGGGGUUAAGGAACACCAUAUGGGAACACCCUCUGGCACGCUUCGGCCUCCGCGGCUCCAACCCACGGGCCGCCCUGCUUUCAGCUUUGAUCCCCCCGCUACCCCUUCGGUGCCCUGGAGAUCCUGCGCCGCCUGCUUCAUUAUAACCUCAGGUGCUCUCCUGGGGCAUCCGUUUACCGGUUACCUGUGCCCUCCUAGAGCAGUGCUUGUAAAAAAUCCAAUCUAUCGUCGCAACGGCAAAAGCGACCCGCGACUUAUACAACACCAGUCAGAACAUUGCCCCUUCAGACACAGCGAUCACCAAGGGGCGUCUGCGCCCACUGCCUCGCCCUGCAGUGUCUCACCCUGUAUCAGCCUGCAGUGUCGCAGCUGCCCGGGCAGCCACCGACACUGCAGGCUGAGGCUACGAAAUACAGGUGGUGAUGCACCUUGAAGUUGCCGCACAAACUCGCCUAAACGUCAUUGAUUUUGAUGGCGUCUCUGCUCGUGCCUAGUAAUUCUUUAUCGGCAAAGAUGAACUCAUAUCAGUGCUGCCAAGUGUGGCGAGUCUACCUUGCUAAUUGGGAGAUCGUGAGAAGCAUCGCGUCGGUGACAUGUGGGUGCGAUUCAGAGCAGCCGCCGCAGACAGACCUCUCAGAUGACGCGUGCUACUCUGGCGUCAUCUUGUAGCCAUCGUCACCACAGCUGGCUUCUGGGAUUCGUUUACUAGGCGACACAUUCGUCCCAGCUUUUCCGGUGCUGAAAACACAACAUGCACCCCGCACCUGUCGCCAACCUUGAAGAAAGCGCAAGUGCGAUAGCAAGUUGCACCAGAGCAAGUUACCCGCAUCGGAAUAACCAUAAAUAAUGGAGUUCCACAGAUGCAACUUGUCCAAACAAGAUCAACAUGCUGUUCUAAGUUCUUCAGUGCAGAAGGUUGUCAACCAACUGAAGUGUUUCAUCAAAUGAAACAAGUGUAUGGCAAUGCUUGCAUUUAGGAAACAAGAGCAUAUGGAGGGGAAGAAUAUUUAGGGAAAUACAUGAAUGAACAAGUGAUUAUUAUUGUCCUGCUCAAGUUCAGGUUGUUUCCACAGAGGACAAUUGUUAAAGGAGAAUGAGGCUAUUUGUGCGGAUAGAUACCGCAGCAUUCAGUGUAUCACAGAUAAAUUCAACAUGAGUUGCAGGACUGCACAGAAGAUUGUGAAAGGUCUCGGGUAUCACAAAGUGUACGCACAGCGGAUUUCCAGUACGUUGACAGAGAGACAUAAGUUCGAGUGUAUGGUGUGCGUCCUUGAACAUUUGCAAUGGUACCACUUGGAGGGAAAUGACAUUUUUCUUGAGUAUUGUUUAUAUGGAUGAACACUGGCAUCACCAUUUUGAACCAAGUGCAAACUCUUCCAGUAUGCAAUGGAAACACCCUUCAUAUCUCCAUGCCACAUGAAAUUCAAGUCACAAGCUUUUGCAGGGAAAGCCAGAGUUUCAAUAUUGUUCAACUACCAUGGAUUAAUGAUAGACUUCAAGAAACCAGGAGAAUCCAUUAAUGCCGAACGCUGCUGUGCAAGUCUGACCUAUCUUCGGACAUCCAUAAAAACAAGAGACCUGGAUUACUGACUUCUGUGGAGAAAAGUACAAAAAAGAGCAUGAAGAUGGGCAUGCCUCGCAGAAGGCAAUCGACUCUUCCACAAUAGCAAGAACAGAACGCCUGUGGUGUCCAUUCAGCGUCUGCUCCAGUCCACCUUCUACUUGCGCCAUCACCGUGGUGCGUCCACUGCGGGCACUAUAUGAAGCUCUCCCAUAGCAUUACACUGAAGUUUCAUGACCAGAUGAAAAGUAUUGAAGGACCAUGAGUGCCUGAAUUCAUGACCAUGGAGGAGGUCACUUAUGGACAAUAAUUACCAGCCGUUGAUUAGCCAUCGAGUUCCUGCGUCGAGACAUUUGCAAGGGACCGGAUGUGUUUUGGGUUUCAAGAAGUCGAGCAAUAUGAUGCAAAUGUUCUCGAAGUGGGGUUCAUCAGUUUCGAGAUCAACAGCUGCUUAAACAUCCCAUGGCAGCAAUAAACGGCACAUUCGCAAGAGAGAGACCCAAAUAAUGCAUUUUACAAUCGCAUUGCAGCGCAAAAGGCCAACAUUUGUAAGAUGCUCAUUGAUGGAAACCA
Molecule: long non-coding RNA, 3078 nt
Organism: Dermacentor andersoni
Lineage: Eukaryota; Metazoa; Arthropoda; Arachnida; Ixodida; Ixodidae
Source: RefSeq, a predicted model, not a curated record